UAGGGAAUCUUCGGCAAUGGGGGCAACCCUGACCGAGCAACGCCGCGUGAGUGAAGAAGGUGUUCGGAUCGUAAAGCUCUGUUGUAAGAGAAGAACGUGUGUGAGAGUGGAAAGUUCACACAGUGACGGUAACUUACCAGAAAGGGACGGCUAACUACGUGCCAGCAGCCGCGGUAAUACGUAGGUCCCGAGCGUUGUCCGGAUUUAUUGGGCGUAAAGCGAGCGCAGGCGGUUUAAUAAGUCUGAAGUUAAAGGCAGUGGCUUAACCAUUGUUCGCUUUGGAAACUGUUAAACUUGAGUGCAGAAGGGGAGAGUGGAAUUCCAUGUGUAGCGGUGAAAUGCGUAGAUAUAUGGAGGAACACCGGUGGCGAAAGCGGCUCUCUGGUCUGUAACUGACGCUGAGGCUCGAAAGCGUGGGGAGCAAACAGG
This 429-nucleotide ribosomal RNA is filed under the name bacterium. RNAcentral's name for it is "partial 16S ribosomal RNA". It matches the Rfam family "Bacterial small subunit ribosomal RNA", at positions 355 to 776 of the family's 1533-position model. The record is from RNAcentral.